RNAcentral lists this ribosomal RNA (123 nucleotides) under Labrocarpon sp. RNAcentral's name for it is "partial large subunit ribosomal RNA". Lineage: Eukaryota; Fungi; Ascomycota; Dothideomycetes; Asterinales; Stictographaceae. The record is from RNAcentral.
CGGCAACAGCUCAAAUUUGAAAUCUGGCACCCGCCCGAGUUGUAAUUUGCAGAGGAGGCUUUGGAGUCGCCCCGGUCUAAGUUCCUUGGAACAGGACGUCGCAGAGGGUGAGAAUCCCGUACG